Molecule: non-coding RNA, 49 nt
Filed under: Hyphomicrobiales bacterium
Lineage: Bacteria; Pseudomonadati; Pseudomonadota; Alphaproteobacteria; Hyphomicrobiales
Description: mini-ykkC
Rfam family: Guanidine-II riboswitch aptamer (mini-ykkC)
About the family: Simpler in structure and has fewer highly conserved nucleotide positions than the ykkC-yxkD leader. Despite this each of its two stem-loop structures directly bind free guanidine.
Source: RNAcentral
AACCGAGGACGACCUCGGAAACUCCCCCUAUCGGGCGCGGACGACCGCG